This 223-nucleotide non-coding RNA is filed under the name Saccharopolyspora spinosa. The record is from RNAcentral. Lineage: Bacteria; Bacillati; Actinomycetota; Actinomycetes; Pseudonocardiales; Pseudonocardiaceae.
GAAGAGCUCUACACCGAAGGGCUAGCGACCCACGGUGACCCCGAGUCAUGCGUCGUCGCUCGUGAGGGCGUCGGCGAAGCGUUGACAGGGGCACGUGCAGGCCAGGCUAUUGAGCCGCGUAAUCAUAGAGUUCGGGGCGCCGACGCUGUCUACGGAAGCGGAAGGCAACACCGUCAGUGGCGCUAUCGCGAGCCGCUGGUGGGUCCCGCGCGGUCAGAGACCC